ACGGCUCAGUAACACGUCGAUAAUCUUACUUUAGGUUAGGGAUAGCCUCGGGAAACUGAGAGUAAAACCUGAUAGGAAGAUACUUCUGGAAAGAUGUUCUUCCCAAACUACGGGCCUAAAGAUGAGUCGGCGGCGGAUUAGGCUGUUGGCGGGGUAACGGCCCACCAAACCGAAGAUCCGUACGGGCCUUGAGAGAGGUAACCCGGAGAAGGACACUGAGAUACUGGUCCUAGCCCUACGGGGUGCAGCAGGCGCGAAACCUCUGCAAUGCACGAAAGUGUGACAGGGGAAUCCUAAGUGCUUAUACAAUGUAUAGGCUUUUGCCAAGUGUAAGUAGCUUGGCGAAUAAGUGGUGGGUAAGACUGGUGCCAGCCGCCGCGGUAACCCCAGCGCCACAAGUGGGAGCCACAUUUAUUGGGUCUAAAGCGUUCGUAGCAGGUUCUGUAAAUCUUUUGUGAAAUUGUCAAGCUUAACUUGACAGAUUGCAGAAGACACUGCAAAACUAGGGACCGGGAGGAGUUGGGAGUAUUCAAUGGGGAGCGGUAAAAUGCUAUAAUCCAUUGAAGACUACCUGUGGCGAAGGCGCCCAACCAGAACGGAUCCGACUGUGAGGAACGAAAGCUAGGGGAGCAAUCCGGAUUAGAUACCCGAGUAGUCCUAGCUGUAAACGCUGCGUGCUAGGUGUCACGUAUUCUAUAGGAAUGCGUGGUGUCAAAGCGAAGGCGAUAAGCACGCCACCUGGGAAGUACGGUCGCAAGGCUGAAACUUAAAGGAAUUGGCGGGGGAGCAC
This 790-nucleotide ribosomal RNA is filed under the name uncultured archaeon. RNAcentral's name for it is "bacterial SSU rRNA". It matches the Rfam family "Archaeal small subunit ribosomal RNA", at positions 85 to 879 of the family's 1478-position model. The record is from RNAcentral.